UCUGACUGCCCCCCUGGGUAGGCCAAAACCAAGUUUAAGCCACCAUUGGUACAUAUAAGGUGCAGGAAGUGACACAAAGAACUGCCUUUAUAUUUCGCAGUCACUUCCUGUGAGGAGGACAUUAUCUUGGAAGUUGACGAUGGAGGAGCUUGGGCUUGAGAUCUCAGACUGCUUCUCCUUGGACUUCCAUGUGCAACUCAAUGAUCUGGGACUAU
This 215-nucleotide long non-coding RNA is filed under the name Monodelphis domestica (gray short-tailed opossum). Its description in RNAcentral is "lncRNA (ENSMODG00000041135.1)". The record is from RNAcentral. Lineage: Eukaryota; Metazoa; Chordata; Mammalia; Didelphimorphia; Didelphidae.